GACGAACGCUGGCGGCGUGCUUAACACAUGCAAGUCGAGCGGUAAGGCCCUUUCGGGGGUACACGAGCGGCGAACGGGUGAGUAACACGUGGGUGACCUGCCCUUAGCUCUGGGAUAAGCCUGGGAAACUGGGUCUAAUACCGGAUAUGACUCCAUGACGCAUGUUGUGGGGUGGAAAGCCUUGUGCGGCUGGAGAUGGGCCCGCGGCCUAUCAGCUUGUUGGUGGGGUGAUGGCCACCAAGGCGACGACGGGUAGCCGGCCUGAGAGGGCGACCGGCCACACUGGGACUGAGACACGGCCCAGACUCCUACGGGAGGCAGCAGUAAGGAAUAUGCGCAAUGGGCGAAAGCCUGACGCAGCGACGCCGCGUGGGGAUGAAGGUCUUCGGAUUGUAAACCCCUUUCGGGAGGGGAAGAUGGAACGAGCAAUCGUUCGGACGGUACCUCCAGAAGCAGCCACGGCUAACUUCGUGCCAGCCGCCGCA
RNAcentral lists this ribosomal RNA (485 nucleotides) under uncultured bacterium. RNAcentral describes it as "bacterial SSU rRNA". It matches the Rfam family "Bacterial small subunit ribosomal RNA", at positions 28 to 519 of the family's 1533-position model. The record is from RNAcentral.